Caenorhabditis elegans is the source of this 138-nucleotide non-coding RNA. The record is from Ensembl. Lineage: Eukaryota; Metazoa; Nematoda; Chromadorea; Rhabditida; Rhabditidae.
UGGCAACCCCAAAAAGCGAUUGAAAAAGUGAAGAAUCGAGAAAGGAAGGAAAGACAUGAAGAAAAGUUCUAGGAAACAGAAACCCCAACAAAAACGGGUGGGAGGGAUCGGCCUCGACGAAAUUGGCGAUGACAACGA